Molecule: ribosomal RNA, 456 nt
Filed under: uncultured bacterium
Lineage: Bacteria
Description: bacterial SSU rRNA
Rfam family: Bacterial small subunit ribosomal RNA
Source: RNAcentral
UACGGAAGGCAGCAGUGGGGAAUAUUGGACAAUGGGCGCAAGCCUGAUCCAGCCAUGCCGCGUGUGUGAAGAAGGCCUUCGGGUUGUAAAGCACUUUUGUCCGGAAAGAAAAGCUUAGGGUUAAUAACCUUGAGUCAUGACGGUACCGGAAGAAUAAGCACCGGCUAACUUCGUGCCAGCAGCCGCGGUAAUACGAAGGGUGCAAGCGUUACUCGGAAUUACUGGGCGUAAAGCGUGCGUAGGUGGUUUUGUUAAGUCUGAUGUGAAAGCCCUGGGCUCAACCUGGGAAUGGCAUUGGAAACUGGCUUACUAGAGUGCGGUAGAGGGGUGUGGAAUUCCCGGUGUAGCAGUGAAAUGCGUAGAUAUCGGGAGGAACAUCUGUGGCGAAGGCGACACCCGUGGACCAGCACUGACACUGAGGCACGAAAGCGUGGGGAGCAAACAGGAUUAGAUACC